UACAGAGGGUGCAAGCGUUGUUCGGAAUUACUGGGCGUAAAGCGCGUGUAGGCGGCGGCGUAAGUCGAAUGUGAAAUCCCUUGGCUUAACCAAGGAAGUGCAUCCGAUACUGCGUCGCUUGAGUGCCGGAGGGGAUGGCGGAAUUCCUGGUGUAGAGGUGAAAUUCGUAGAUAUCAGGAGGAACACCUGUGGCGAAGGCGGCCAUCUGGACGGUAACUGACGCUGAGACGCGAAAGCGUGGGUAGCAAACAGGAUUAGAUACCCUGGUAGUCCACGCUGUAAACGAUGAGUGCUAGGCGUCGUGGGUAUUGACCCCCGCGGUGCCGAAGUUAACACGUUAAGCACUCCGCCUGGGGAGUACGGUCGCAAGAUUAAA
This 376-nucleotide ribosomal RNA is filed under the name uncultured bacterium. RNAcentral describes it as "bacterial SSU rRNA". It matches the Rfam family "Bacterial small subunit ribosomal RNA", at positions 524 to 898 of the family's 1533-position model. The record is from RNAcentral.